Long non-coding RNA from Amphimedon queenslandica, 608 nucleotides. RefSeq lists it as uncharacterized. The transcript has 2 exons. NCBI's taxonomy places the organism in Eukaryota, Metazoa, Porifera, Demospongiae, Haplosclerida, Niphatidae. The record is from RefSeq and is a predicted model, not a curated record.
UCUAAUUAAAAUUUUAAUUUUUAAGGUUCCAAAUUUAUGUGAAGAUGUGCAUGUAUCUAUAUUAGUUGAGUUUAGUAAAAGUUAAGAUGUUUGUCAUUAAAAAUGAAAUAAUCUUGAAGACUUUACUGACUGCAGUCAAUAGGAAAGGGAGAAGGUCACUCUGGUCUCCUAGUAGUGGUAUAUAGGGGCCAGACUUUAUAGCCUCCUGGUUUUUAUACAUGACAUGCAUUGUUUUAACUGCUUUUAUACAGUAGCUAUAUACAUGCACAUAAAACCAUGAACCAAUUGCAGCCAUACUUUUUUGACUUAUAAUACAGGGACUUUGGGCCCAUUUUUGAACAAAUUAAAAAAUUCCAGAUUUAAUCAGAACAUAGUUUCGUCCUGCCCUUCGCUACCUGUGGAGGGGCGGGGCAAGACUAAUCAGACCAUUGAUCUAUGAUUGGAAUCGGUUCAGAUUUUCUAUGCAACAAAAGUAUAUGUAUACUAUUCUCUCUCUAACUAGUCUCUCCAAGGACAACACCACACUAAGAAAGUCCAUUGAGGAGCAACUAAACACCUUCAGCCAAUCAGAAGCUCCCUUAUCUUGUGUCGACAAUAGGAAAUCCAGG